Molecule: long non-coding RNA, 1184 nt
Organism: Cyprinus carpio carpio
Lineage: Eukaryota; Metazoa; Chordata; Actinopteri; Cypriniformes; Cyprinidae
Source: Ensembl
AUGGUGGUUCGACAUCGAGAUGUUGUUCUCACCCAUAUGAAAAAGUUGGGGUUAAGACUAAACGUAAAGAAAAGUGCACUUUCUCCAUUACAGAGGACCACUUAUAUGGGCGUGGUAUGGGAUUUGACAUACAUACAUAUAUUAUUAUUAUUAUUAUUAUUAUUAUUAUUAUUAUUAUUAUUAUUAUUCCAAGGUCAAGAUAGCCACCAGAUCUGGGCUGUAUCCAGAUCAGAUGGUCACUGCAGUCACUUGGAUACAGUCCGUAUCCAGCCCAGAUGGUGGAUCAGUACCAAGAGAUGACCUCUACAGUCCAAAAUGUCAGCGGAGACCAGGACAACUAGAUGUGCCCCAUGAUCCCCAGUGAAGACCUUGUCACCUAGACCAGUGGUUCUCAAUUCCAGUCCUGGGGACCCCGUGCUCUGCACAUUUUGCAUGUCUCCCUUUUUUAAUACACCUGAUUGAGAUCAUCAGCUUGUUAGGAGAGAGAUCCAUGAAAUGAACCAACAAGUUGAUGAUCUCAAUCAGGUGUGUUAAAUAAGGGAGACAUGGUAAAAGGGGGGUCCCCAGGACUGGAAUUGAGCAGCACUGACCUAGAUGGCCAUCGGGACAAGACCACGGGAACACCAAUCUGACUUUGCUGCAGCAUGGAACAACCUACUGGUUCGUCUGGCCAGAGGAAAACUGGCCCCCUGACUGAGCCUGGUUUCUCCCAAGUUUUUUUUUUCUUCUUUUUUUUUACUCCAUUCUGUCACCGAUGGAGUUUUGGUUCCUUGGUGCUGUUGCCUCUGUUGGGGACAUUUAAAUAGCUGAGUUAAGGCUGCUUGUGCCUGCUCAAAAUUCUCUGUAUAGCAUUGCAGCACUAAACAGUAUGUAAAGACACAUAAAAGCUACUUUCAGAAGUGCUUCUGUGCCAUCUUUGUAAUGUAAAUUUUGCAUUAGACUCUAGAUCAAUCUAGACCAAGUAUGAGACCACAGCCUGCUUAUAUAGAGUCUAACAGCAUGAUUACGAGUGCGAAAAAUAGUUUUAACUUAAAGUCACCAUGAAAUCAAAAUUGAAAAUUCUUGUUUUCUAAUGGAAUACUGUUGUGUUUAUUAUAAAUAAUUUAUCUGUGCAUUUUUAUUUUUUUAAUUCAUGUGUCCUCAUAAUCUUUAAUUAAAAACCUCCCCUGAAUCCCCAAAAUUCA